RNAcentral lists this ribosomal RNA (547 nucleotides) under uncultured bacterium. RNAcentral describes it as "bacterial SSU rRNA". It matches the Rfam family "Bacterial small subunit ribosomal RNA", at positions 355 to 896 of the family's 1533-position model. The record is from RNAcentral.
UGGGGAAUAUUGCGCAAUGGGGGGAACCCUGACGCAGCUAUGCCGCGUGAAUGAAGAAGGCCUUCGGGUUGUAAAGUUCUUUCGGUAUUGAGGAAGGUUGAUGUGUUAAUAGCACAUCAAAUUGACGUUAAAUACAGAAGAAGCACCGGCUAACUCCGUGCCAGCAGCCGCGGUAAUACGGAGGGUGCGAGCGUUAAUCGGAAUAACUGGGCGUAAAGGGCACGCAGGCGGUUAUUUAAGUGAGGUGUGAAAGCCCUGGGCUUAACCUAGGAAUUGCAUUUCAGACUGGGUAACUAGAGUACUUUAGGGAGGGGUAGAAUUCCACGUGUAGCGGUGAAAUGCGUAGAGAUGUGGAGGAAUACCGAAGGCGAAGGCAGCCCCUUGGGAAUGUACUGACGCUCAUGUGCGAAAGCGUGGGGAGCAAACAGGAUUAGAUACCCUGGUAGUCCACGCUGUAAACGCUGUCGAUUUGGGGGUUGGGGUUUAACUCUGGCGCCCGUAGCUAACGUGAUAAAUCGACCGCCUGGGGAGUACGGCCGCAAGGUUA